GGUUAAGCGACUAAGCGUACACGGUGGAUGCCCUGGCAGUCAGAGGCGAUGAAGGACGUGCUAAUCUGCGAAAAGCGUCGGUAAGGUGAUAUGAACCGUUAUAACCGGCGAUGUCCGAAUGGGGAAACCCAGUGUGAUUCGUCACACUAUCGUUAACUGAAUACAUAGGUUAACGAGGCGAACCGGGGGAACUGAAACAUCUAAGUACCCCGAGGAAAAGAAAUCAACCGAGAUUCCCCCAGUAGCGGCGAGCGAACGGGGAGCAGCCCAGAGUCUGAAUCAGCUUGUGUGUUAGUGGAACGGUCUGGAAAGUCCGACGGUACAGGGUGAUAGUCCCGUACACCAAAAUGCACAGGCUGUGAACUCGAAGAGUAGGGCGGGACACGUGGUAUCCUGUCUGAAUAUGGGGGGACCAUCCUCCAAGGCUAAAUACUCCUGACUGACCGAUAGUGAACCAGUACCGUGAGGGAAAGGCGAAAAGAACCCCGGCGAGGGGAGUGAAAAAGAACCUGAAACCGUGUACGUACAAGCAGUGGGAGCACCUUCGGGUGUGACUGCGUACCUUUUGUAUAAUGGGUCAGCGACUUAUAUUCUGUAGCAAGGUUAACCGUAUAGGGGAGCCGCAGGGAAACCGAGUCUUAACUGGGCGUUAAGUUGCAGGGUAUAGACCCGAAACCCGGUGAUCUAGCCAUGGGCAGGUUGAAGGUUGGGUAACACUAACUGGAGGACCGAACCGACUAAUGUUGAAAAAUUAGCGGAUGACUUGUGGCUGGGGGUGAAAGGCCAAUCAAACCGGGAGAUAGCUGGUUCUCCCCGAAAGCUAUUUAGGUAGCGCCUCGUGAAUUCAUCUUCGGGGGUAGAGCACUGUUUCGGCUAGGGGGUCAUCCCGACUUACCAACCCGAUGCAAACUACGAAUACCGAAGAAUGUUAUCACGGGAGACACACGGCGGGUGCUAACGUCCGUCGUGAAGAGGGAAACAACCCAGACCGCCAGCUAAGGUCCCAAAGUCAUGGUUAAGUGGGAAACGAUGUGGGAAGGCACAGACAGCCAGGAUGUUGGCUUAGAAGCAGCCAUCAUUUAAAGAAAGCGUAAUAGCUCACUGGUCGAGUCGGCCUGCGCGGAAGAUGUAACGGGGCUAAACCAUGCACCGAAGCUGCGGCAGCGACACUAUGUGUUGUUGGGUAGGGGAGCGUUCUGUAAGCCUGCGAAGGUGACCUGUGAGGGUUGCUGGAGGUAUCAGAAGUGCGAAUGCUGACAUAAGUAACGAUAAAGCGGGUGAAAAGCCCGCUCGCCGGAAGACCAAGGGUUCCUGUCCAACGUUAAUCGGGGCAGGGUGAGUCGACCCCUAAGGCGAGGCCGAAAGGCGUAGUCGAUGGGAAACAGGUUAAUAUUCCUGUACUUGGUGUUACUGCGAAGGGGGGACGGAGAAGGCUAUGUUAGCCGGGCGACGGUUGUCCCGGUUUAAGCAUGUAGGCUGGUUAUCCAGGCAAAUCCGGAUAAUCAAGGCUGAGGUGUGAUGACGAGGUACUACGGUGCUGAAGUAACAAAUGCCCUGCUUCCAGGAAAAGCCUCUAAGCAUCAGGUAACAUCAAAUCGUACCCCAAACCGACACAGGUGGUCAGGUAGAGAAUACCAAGGCGCUUGAGAGAACUCGGGUGAAGGAACUAGGCAAAAUGGUGCCGUAACUUCGGGAGAAGGCACGCUGGUGUGUAGGUGAAGUCCCUGCGGAUGGAGCUGAGACCAGUCGAAGAUACCAGCUGGCUGCAACUGUUUAUUAAAAACACAGCACUGUGCAAACACGAAAGUGGACGUAUACGGUGUGACGCCUGCCCGGUGCCGGAAGGUUAAUUGAUGGGGUUAUCCGUAAGGAGAAGCUCUUGAUCGAAGCCCCGGUAAACGGCGGCCGUAACUAUAACGGUCCUAAGGUAGCGAAAUUCCUUGUCGGGUAAGUUCCGACCUGCACGAAUGGCGUAAUGAUGGCCAGGCUGUCUCCACCCGAGACUCAGUGAAAUUGAACUCGCUGUGAAGAUGCAGUGUACCCGCGGCAAGACGGAAAGACCCCGUGAACCUUUACUAUAGCUUGACACUGAACAUUGAGCCUUGAUGUGUAGGAUAGGUGGGAGGCUUUGAAGCGUGGACGCCAGUCUGCGUGGAGCCAACCUUGAAAUACCACCCUUUAAUGUUUGAUGUUCUAACGUUGGCCCCUUAUCGGGGUUGCGGACAGUGUCUGGUGGGUAGUUUGACUGGGGCGGUCUCCUCCCAAAGCGUAACGGAGGAGCACGAAGGUUAGCUAAUCCUGGUCGGACAUCAGGAGGUUAGUGCAAUGGCAUAAGCUAGCUUGACUGCGAGCGUGACGGCGCGAGCAGGUGCGAAAGCAGGUCAUAGUGAUCCGGUGGUUCUGAAUGGAAGGGCCAUCGCUCAACGGAUAAAAGGUACUCCGGGGAUAACAGGCUGAUACCGCCCAAGAGUUCAUAUCGACGGCGGUGUUUGGCACCUCGAUGUCGGCUCAUCACAUCCUGGGGCUGAAGUAGGUCCCAAGGGUAUGGCUGUUCGCCAUUUAAAGUGGUACGCGAGCUGGGUUUAGAACGUCGUGAGACAGUUCGGUCCCUAUCUGCCGUGGGCGCUGGAGAAUUGAGGAGGGCUGCUCCUAGUACGAGAGGACCGGAGUGGACGCAUCACUGGUGUUCGGGUUGUCAUGCCAAUGGCACUGCCCGGUAGCUAAAUGCGGAAGAGAUAAGUGCUGAAAGCAUCUAAGCACGAAACUUGCCCCGAGAUGAGUUCUCCCUGAGACUUUAAGUCUCCUGAAGGAACGUUAAAGACGAUGACGUUGAUAGGCCGGGUGUGUAAGCGCAGCGAUGCGUUGAGCUAACCGGUACUAAUGAACCGUGAGGCUUAACCUU
Molecule: ribosomal RNA, 2902 nt
Filed under: Klebsiella pneumoniae
Lineage: Bacteria; Pseudomonadati; Pseudomonadota; Gammaproteobacteria; Enterobacterales; Enterobacteriaceae
Description: 23S ribosomal RNA
Rfam family: Bacterial large subunit ribosomal RNA
Source: RNAcentral